This 73-nucleotide transfer RNA is filed under the name Dictyocaulus viviparus (bovine lungworm). It matches the Rfam family "tRNA". Rfam says of the family: Transfer RNA (tRNA) molecules are approximately 80 nucleotides in length. Their secondary structure includes four short double-helical elements and three loops (D, anti-codon, and T loops). Further hydrogen bonds mediate the characteristic L-shaped molecular structure. tRNAs have two regions of fundamental functional importance: the anti-codon, which is responsible for specific mRNA codon recognition, and the 3' end, to which the tRNAs corresponding amino acid is attached (by aminoacyl-tRNA synthetases). tRNAs cope with the degeneracy of the genetic code in two manners: having more than one tRNA (with a specific anti-codon) for a particular amino acid; and 'wobble' base-pairing, i.e. permitting non-standard base-pairing at the 3rd anti-codon position. The record is from Rfam by way of RNAcentral. Lineage: Eukaryota; Metazoa; Nematoda; Chromadorea; Rhabditida; Metastrongylidae.
ACUUCGGUAGUGCAAUCGGUAAGCACAAAAGGCUGUGCAACUUUAGAUUCAGGUUCGAGUCAUGACUGAGGUU